UGUGUGGUACUCCUAUCCUUACCUCCUCGCAGUACUGGCCGGGGUACGAUAAACCUUAGGGAAGAUCGGGUAACCAACUCCGGUGGGAGCUUUGUACGUAUGCUGAUAGGGAGGG
This 115-nucleotide ribozyme is filed under the name Aedes aegypti (yellow fever mosquito). RNAcentral describes it as "drz-agam-1 ribozyme". It matches the Rfam family "drz-agam-1 ribozyme", at positions 10 to 82 of the family's 82-position model. Lineage: Eukaryota; Metazoa; Arthropoda; Insecta; Diptera; Culicidae. The record is from Rfam by way of RNAcentral.